UACGUAGGGGGCGAGCGUUGUCCGGAAUUACUGGGCGUAAAGGGCGAGUAGGUGGCCAUCUAAGUCAGACGUGAAAUCCCCCGGCUUAACCUGGGAACUGCGUCUGAUACUGGACGGCUUGAGUAUGGGAGAGGGAUGUAGAAUUCCAGGUGUAGCGGUGAAAUGCGUAGAUAUCUGGAGGAAUACCGGUGGCGAAGGCGGCAUCCUGGACCAUUACUGACACUGAUCCGCGAAAGCUAGGGGAGCAAACGGG
This 253-nucleotide ribosomal RNA is filed under the name uncultured bacterium. RNAcentral describes it as "partial 16S ribosomal RNA". It matches the Rfam family "Bacterial small subunit ribosomal RNA", at positions 524 to 776 of the family's 1533-position model. The record is from RNAcentral.